RNAcentral lists this ribosomal RNA (490 nucleotides) under uncultured bacterium. RNAcentral's name for it is "partial 16S ribosomal RNA". It matches the Rfam family "Bacterial small subunit ribosomal RNA", at positions 30 to 507 of the family's 1533-position model. The record is from RNAcentral.
AUUGAACGCUGGCGGCAGGCCUAACACAUGCCAGUCGAACGGUAACAGGAAGAAGCUUGCUUCUUUGCUGACGAGUGGCGGACGGGUGAGUAAUGUCUGGGAAACUGCCUGAUGGAGGGGGAUAACUACUGGAAGCGGUAGCUAAUACCGCAUAACGUCGCAAGACCAAAGAGGGGGACCUUCGGGCCUCUUGCCAUCGGAUGUGCCCAGAUGGGAUUAGCUAGUAGGUGGGGUAACGGCUCACCUAGGCGACGAUCCCUAGCUGGUCUGAGAGGAUGACCAGCCACACUGGAACUGAGACACGGUCCAGACUCCUACGGGAGGCAGCAGUGGGGAAUAUUGCACAAUGGGCGCAAGCCUGAUGCAGCCAUGCCGCGUGUAUGAAGAAGGCCUUCGGGUUGUAAAGUACUUUCAGCGGGGAGGAAGGGAGUAAAGUUAAUACCUUUGCUCAUUGACGUUACCCGCAGAAGAAGCACCGGCUAACUCCGUG